GUAACAUCAGAGACACAAGCAAAGGCAAGCAUACAAACAGGAGACAGCACGAAAGCCAUGGUGAUAAGAGGACAAAAGAGACAUGUGGAAUGCAGGGCAGGCGACAGAAUAAAAGGCCUUCCUCACUGAAUUUAAGGUCGCACAGAGAGAAGGGGGUGGAGUGAAUGUGGGAGUGUGUGUGUGUUGUACAUCUGACACAUUUCCACCAUGUUGCACAUUACCAAGUCGCAUAGACAUGAGACAGGAUUUACCACUUUGAAACCAGGUUUGUCUUGUCUUGUCGGAUGUGGCUGGGACUGAAUUGUGAUCGACUGUCCCUUUUUAUAAAGUAAUAGUAAGGCUUUGGAUGAGGUGUGGCUUGAAGUGAAAGGAAUGCAGAUUGGCUAAUCAACAGAAGUCAGACACGUGUUUAGUCUAAUUAUACAGGUCAUAUGAAAAAAAGACUGAUUCUUUAAACUGUAAGGUUGGCAAUUUGGGCAGAUUUUCAUUAUAUUCUGUGCUUAAUUAUCUCCAAACAUUCUGGUGUUAUAAGUUAAACUAUGUUUUAGCUUUUAUACACAAGCUUAUGCCAGAUUAUGUUGAGGAAAACCACAUAAUAAUUUUAACAAGUUUGUACUGUUCCAGCCUCACAGCCUCUUUUCUGUACAGCAUUGAUGUGUUUCAUGUUUUAUAAGGAAGCUGAUGUGUUUUCACAAAUCAAAGAUGGGUUUCACAAUUAUUUUGCGCCAUCACAAAUAGUCAUGAUGUGAUGUUUCCUUAAGCAAUUCAAGUUUCCUCCAAUGUGACUAUCAGUGUGAAUAUCUGUACUAGCAAGUACUUUUAUCAAACACCAGGACUAGAGAAACUGAAGUCUAAGACUGGGGAGGCAAGAUUUUAGGAUAGAGAAUCUGUAUCCAUGUUAUCGAGGCAAGCAGCAACAUUCCCGAGAUCUAAUGCAACUACCACAAUGUUGUGCUGGAAAAAAAACACAGUUUUAAUCUGUGUUUUCGCUGAUAAUCGAUUCAGUUGUAGAAACAUAUUGUCACUGGUGGAAACAUUCAAUCAGCUGAUAUAUAAAUGGGACAGUAAAGUUUAUUAGGUCGAUUGUAUUACAUUUUUUAUGUUAACCAAACUCAGCUCAUUUUAUAAUUUUUUGUUGGGGGCUGAUCAUUUUAUUUGCCAUGACUCUGGGUUCUUGUUUUUUUUGCAUACUUGAUUAGUCCGGUCAAUUGCGUCGUCGAAGAAUUGUGGAGACCUUUUUGCAUCCAUGUGAUCUGAUUUUCAUUGAGGGGAUUACACUGUGAACGGGUUUGUUACACCUUGAAUGUCGAGGCUGACGUCACGUCACAAUGCAUUCCCAGCAUAAGAGCGUUUGAAUCCUUUUGAGGGUUUACAUGGUUUUUAAUCACAUUGAUGAAACCCUCUAAUCGCUGUGUUUUCAACUUUCUUGAUGCAGCUUGUGAGAAGCCACCUCUGAAAGAUUGUGAAAUAGUUCAGAGUGAUUGUGCUACAGAGAGAAUAGUUAGGGACCUGGCAAUUUAACAAAUGUUUGAGUGGGACAGGUCCCAAAUCAGGAACAUAUUUUGAGUUGACAUGGUUGUCACUGCCUUUUCCACUCAUUUAAAUACUGUGCAUGCCUUUUGUUUCACCAAAGAGUGUUUUGUGUUUGUUUUUUCAGCUCAAUGUUUCUGCUCUAGUGAUUAUUUAGUACUAGGUCAAGAUUUAAAGAAUUAUCAGAGUUUUAUCCCGUUGCAAUUUGUCAUGAAAAUGGUUAACAACAGGAAGGGCCGACGCAUGUAAUUCAGUAUGUCCCAAAAAGGCCUAAUUUUGAAAAGGACAUUCUUUGAGCAUCUAACCAUCUAUAGCUAGAUAAUAUGGUGUUUUAAUAAGCAUUAAAAGCAACAGUCCAAUGCCAGGGAAUAACAACAUGACCAUACUAAGUGGCUGAUACGAUGAGUACAGUGGAUCUUAUGUUUAUGUAUGCAUUGCUUAUACUCAUGUAGCCAUAUGUUCACUAGAGUCGUGAUAAAGCAUUCCCUAAUCAGCAUCCAUAUUUAAAAAUGUGUCAUUUAGAUAUAAGAGGAAUGGUUUAAAGCAGAUGCAGCAAAAUAGCACAAAAUAGUUUGGCAGUAUUGUCAAGAUGAAACAAUAUUUUUAUUUAAAUCCUGAUAUUUAACUUUUUGCAUUUAAUUUUUUUUCAUCAUUUUAUUUCUAACUACAUAGCCACCCUGAGGGUUACAAGUGAAGUGAUAAACCUAUAUUCCUAAAGCCAACCAAUAUUGUCCGUGGUAGUCUAAAUUAAAACAGGCUCUUGACCAUAAAGCUUGUUAACGGCAUUCAUAGAAUGGAUUUGAUAGUUGUUGUUUUUGCCAAUUUGGAAUUAUUGUUCCAGGAAAUACAUUUUUAUUAUAUAUAGCACACUUAUUAAUUUGGGAGAUAUCAGUCAAAUCCACAUGCAACAGCAGUUUGCAUCUAUCAUUACCUUGAUUUAUUGUAUCUUUAUCCACUGUGCACCUUUCAGUGGAUAUGGAUAUAUGUUUCACUGUCUGGAUUUUUUUCCUCUGCCCCAUCUUUACUUGGAAAGAUAUUGAAUUUCUUACUCCAGUGUUGUUUUUGCCUCGUUAGAUGCCUAAUGUAAUUAACAAAAGGCAUGUUUCAAUAGGUGUCUCCGGUGCCUCAUGAAUAAUAGGAGGUGAGCUUUUUCUCUCUUGUUCUCGAUUGCGCCUCUUGUUCCUCAAGCAGGGGGAUGACAUCAAAACACACCAUAAGAUCAACUCCUUGAAAGACCUCCUUGAUGUUUGCAGCUGUUUAAAAAAAAAAAAAACACUAUUUUGCUUAUAAUAAUUUUCUGUACUUUACUGUUUUCACAUUGCUUUUGCCCAGGAAACAUGUUUUUGUUUGAAAUUGCUGGAGGUCUCUUUUUUGUUUGUUUUUGGUCUCACCUUUUUGAUACAUUUCCAGAACUUGCCUUACAGUGGACUGCAGCACUCUAAGGUGUUGGAAACACAUCCUAUAUCCUUCCCCACAGAUAGCCUGGAAGUCAGUAGCUGCAUAUUUGCAAGAUUGUUUUUUUUGUGUAUGUCUAAUUGCCUCUAUCAGGAACGUAGCUCUAUCCAUGAAGGACAUCUCUUUUAACCAGCCUAUUUUGCUGACUUGUCUUACAUGUUCCCCCAAGCCUCUACUCACUUGUUAUUGGUUUCAUACUUGCUGAAUACUUGACAAAUAGAUGAUCCAGGUGUUUUAGAUCCCCUAUCACUCCUGAGGUUUCUCUGUCCAUGUUCCGUGAUGCAGGUAAUAACAGCCAAGGUAAGGGCAGUUAUGAUACUUGGUCAGCUGAUUGUUUGAUUGUGUGUGUGUUUCGUAUCAAAAAAAAAAAAUCCGUACAUAAGAUGAAGCACCUUUGUUCCUUAUUUGAAAAACAGCAAAAAAGUUAAUUUAAUUCAGCACCAAAGUCGUAAUCCUUUGUUGGCUUAUCUUGACAGUUGCGUGUGUAUAUACUGUAAGGUACAAUCACUUAUUGAAGUGUGAUAGUGGUUAUUUUCUCAUCAAAAUAUUAUUGAGGUGAUCGUUUUUUUGUUUUGCCUUGUGGCCUUAUGGAAGGUUAUGAAUUAUGGAGGUGGCAAAGUAGAACAGAAAAGGUCUUGACUGACUGCCAGGUUUAUGCUGGCAGUCAAGAGGGUUUAGAUUUGCAAAGUAUGGAAUUAUUUACAUUUAUUGUAUAAUUUAAAUAUGAUUGUGGGUUUUAAUCUUGAUUUACAUAAUAAUUAAAGAUAAUUUUUGUAUUUCUUUUCUUUUUUUUUUUCCUCAGGAUCAGAUUUACUUUUUACCAUGUGGUUAUAAUGGUGUGAAAUUUUGCACUGCCUGGUUUAUAUUCAUCGCAUUUGUCUGUCAUUUGUUGUCAUUUUUGUUUUGAGUCCUUGUUGCCUUGAUUUUUAAUACAUUUGUGCUUUACCAAUAAUCUGCUUUGAGGUUCUUUCUAGUGUGAUUUUGACUACUUCAUUGCACGGUUGAUUUUUGUUUUUUGUUCUAGUUUGCAAAAAUGCUAACCUUACAUUAAUUCACCUAAGAUGAGAACCAAAUACUUGCUGCCAUAUAUGUAAAUCUUUCAUGAAUUAAUUUAGCCACUCUCCCAUUAUCCCUACUGAGGUACAUUCAGACAGCAAACACAGUCUUGUGCAGUCACACAGUCAUGAAUCACAGGCUAUGAAUGAAUUAGUGUGAAUGUGAGAGAGAGAUCAAGGCCAUUAAGUAAUACUACUCUCCUUAUUGAUUUCUUUCACCCCUGAGGAGGGCUUCACGCAGCAGAUGGACUAAUGGUAAUUUGAGAUGCCCCCUCUUUACUCAGUUGUGGCUCUACAAAUAACAUCUACAAAGUUAGAACUGCUGAUAAAUGCUGUCUCUUUUUAAUAAAUGUGC
Long non-coding RNA from Esox lucius (northern pike), 4395 nucleotides. The record is from Ensembl. Lineage: Eukaryota; Metazoa; Chordata; Actinopteri; Esociformes; Esocidae.